Molecule: ribosomal RNA, 485 nt
Filed under: uncultured bacterium
Lineage: Bacteria
Description: partial 16S ribosomal RNA
Rfam family: Bacterial small subunit ribosomal RNA
Source: RNAcentral
GAUGAACGCUAGCGAUAGGCUUAACACAUGCAAGUCGAGGGGCAGCGAGGGUAGCAAUACCUGUCGGCGACCGGCGCACGGGUGAGUAACGCGUAUGUAACCUGCCCGCAACAGGGGGAUAACCCGGCGAAAGUCGGACUAAUACCGCAUAAAACAGGGGUCCCGCAUGGGAAUAUUUGUUAAAGAUUUAUCGGUUGCGGAUGGGCAUGCGUACCAUUAGGUAGUUGGUGAGGUAACGGCUCACCAAGCCUUCGAUGGUUAGGGGUUCUGAGAGGAAGGUCCCCCACACUGGUACUGAGACACGGACCAGACUCCUACGGGAGGCAGCAGUGAGGAAUAUUGGUCAAUGGGCGAGAGCCUGAACCAGCCAAGUCGCGUGAAGGAUGACUGCCCUAUGGGUUGUAAACUUCUUUUACAAGGGAAUAAAAUGAGAUACGUGUAUUUUAUUGCAUGUACCUCGGGAAUAAGCAUCGGCUAACUCCGUG